RNAcentral lists this ribosomal RNA (644 nucleotides) under Rhabditis sp. 4 MK-2017. Its description in RNAcentral is "SSU rRNA". It matches the Rfam family "Eukaryotic small subunit ribosomal RNA", at positions 382 to 1036 of the family's 1831-position model. The record is from RNAcentral. Lineage: Eukaryota; Metazoa; Nematoda; Chromadorea; Rhabditida; Rhabditidae.
UCCGGAGAAGAAGCCUUUGAAAGGCUACUACAUCCAAGGAAGGCAGCAGGCGCGUAACUUAUCCACUACCACAGUGAGAUAGUAACUAGUCUUAACUAUUGACUGAUCUUUUAGGUUAGUCAUGGUCCAUGAGUUGAGCCUAAAUAGCUCUUCGAGGACCAAGUGGAGGGCAAGUCUGGUGCCAGCAGCCGCGGUAAUUCCAGCUCCACUAGCGUAAAAUAUUACUGCUGCGGUUAAAAAGCUCGUAGUUGAAUCUAGUCGUGUCCGUUGGGUUUGUCGUUGGCGUUUAUUCGUCUCUGGCGUUAAUUCACGGCCGAUUUUUGCUGGUUUGCUGUUGGUCUUCGGAUCUUCGGUGGCUAGCGAGUUACUUUGAUCAAAUCAGAGUGCUCAAAACAGGCGAAAGCUUGUAUGAUUUCUCGAGGAAUAACAGAAGAGGACUUCGGUUCUAUUUGUUGGUUCCAGAAUCGUUUAAUGGUUAAGAGGGACAAUUCGGGGGCAAACGUAUCCUCGCGCGAGGGGUGAAAUCCGUAGACCGUGAGGAGACGACCAAUAGCGAAAGCAUUUGCCAAGAAUGUCUCCAUUAAUCAAGAACGAAAGUCAGAGGUUCGAAGGCGAUUAGAUACCGCCCUAGUUCUGACCGUAAA